GAUGAACGCUGGCGGCGUGCUUAACACAUGCAAGUCGAACGGUGAAAGCGGAGCUUGCUCUGCUGGAUCAGUGGCGAACGGGUGAGUAACACGUGAGCAAUCUGCCCUUGACUCUGGGAUAAGCGCUGGAAACGGCGUCUAAUACCGGAUACGAGCUGCGAAGGCAUCUUCAGCAGCUGGAAAGAACUUCGGUCAAGGAUGAGCUCGCGGCCUAUCAGCUUGUUGGUGAGGUAACGGCUCACCAAGGCGUCGACGGGUAGCCGGCCUGAGAGGGUGACCGGCCACACUGGGCCUGAGACACGGCCCAGACUCCUACGGGAGGCAGCAGUGGGGAAUAUUGCACAAUGGGCGCAAGCCUGAUGCAGCAACGCCGCGUGAGGGACGACGGCCUUCGGGUUGUAAACCUCUUUUAGCAGGGAAGAAGCGAAAGUGACGGUACCUGCAGAAAAAGCACCGGCUAACUACGUGCCAGCAGCCGCGGUAA
Molecule: ribosomal RNA, 484 nt
Filed under: uncultured bacterium
Lineage: Bacteria
Description: partial 16S ribosomal RNA
Rfam family: Bacterial small subunit ribosomal RNA
Source: RNAcentral